RNAcentral lists this ribosomal RNA (528 nucleotides) under uncultured Pseudomonas sp. RNAcentral describes it as "bacterial SSU rRNA". It matches the Rfam family "Bacterial small subunit ribosomal RNA", at positions 1 to 523 of the family's 1533-position model. Lineage: Bacteria; Pseudomonadati; Pseudomonadota; Gammaproteobacteria; Pseudomonadales; Pseudomonadaceae. The record is from RNAcentral.
CGCCCUUGAGUUUGAUCAUGGCUCAGAUUGAGCGCUGGCGGCAGGCCUAACACAUGCAAGUCGAGCGGAUGAAGAGAGCUUGCUCUCUGAUUCAGCGGCGGACGGGUGAGUAAUGCCUAGGAAUCUGCCUGGUAGUGGGGGACAACGUUUCGAAAGGAACGCUAAUACCGCAUACGUCCUACGGGAGAAAGCAGGGGACCUUCGGGCCUUGCGCUAUCAGAUGAGCCUAGGUCGGAUUAGCUAGUUGGUGGGGUAAUGGCUCACCAAGGCGACGAUCCGUAACUGGUCUGAGAGGAUGAUCAGUCACACUGGAACUGAGACACGGUCCAGACUCCUACGGGAGGCAGCAGUGGGGAAUAUUGGACAAUGGGCGAAAGCCUGAUCCAGCCAUGGCCGCGUUUUUUUAAGAAGGUCUUCGGAUUGUAAAGCACUUUAAGUUGGGAGGAAGGGUUGUAGAUUAAUACUCUGCAAUUUUGACGUUACCGACAGAAUAAGCACCGGCUAACUCUGUGCCAGCAGCCGCGGUAA